Molecule: ribosomal RNA, 468 nt
Filed under: uncultured bacterium
Lineage: Bacteria
Description: partial 16S ribosomal RNA
Rfam family: Bacterial small subunit ribosomal RNA
Source: RNAcentral
GACGAACGCUGGCGGCGUGCUUAACACAUGCAAGUCGAACGGAAAGGCCCUGCUUUUGUGGGGUGCUCGAGUGGCGAACGGGUGAGUAACACGUGAGUAACCUGCCCUUGUCUUUGGGAUAACUUCAGGAAACUGGGGCUAAUACCGGAUAGGAGCUCCUGCUGCAUGGGGGGGGUUGGAAAGUUUCGGCGGUUGGGGCUGGACUCGCGGCUUAUCAGCUUGUUGGUGGGGUAGUGGCUUACAAAGGCUUUGACGGGUAGCCGGCCUGAGAGGGUGACCGGCGACCUUGGGACUGCGGUACGGCCCAGACUCCUACGGGCGGCAGCGGUCGGGAAUCUUGCGCAAUGGGCGGAAGCCUGAUGCAGCAACGCCGCGUGCGGGAUGCCGGCCUUCGGGUUGUAAACCGCUUUCGCCUGUGACGAAGCGUGCGUGACGGUAAUGGGUAAAGAAGCACCGGCUAACUACGUG